GCCCGGCCCCGCUCAGCUCUCUCCGCGGUCCCGCCGGGCCCUGCUCGCCAACCCCGUGCUGGGCUGAUUGCCGAGGUAGAUGCCACCCACGCACCCCCGCGGCUGGGGAGCGCGAGCUGGAGGAUGCGGAGAGGCCUGAGGCAGGGGGGCCAGGCGCGCGCGCCCUAGGCAGUCUCAGAGGGGCCUGCUGAAGACUGAGGACGGAGGUGGGGGCAACAGGAUGGGGAGCCCGCAAUAGCCCAUCCUGACCUAAUCCGAAAGGACGAGAUCCUGGAGCCGCUCACAAAGUUUUCCGGGCCCCCUCCCACGCGUCGCCUGCACGUAUGUCCGUUUCCCGACGCUCCGCCCUCCCCCGCCAAGUUCGGCGUCUCCCAGCUCAGCGGCAGUCAGGGUGCAGAGGGAGCCCGACCUUGUCCCCGCCUCGGCCCGUCCCGC
Molecule: long non-coding RNA, 435 nt
Filed under: Homo sapiens (human)
Lineage: Eukaryota; Metazoa; Chordata; Mammalia; Primates; Hominidae
Description: HSALNT0385852
Source: RNAcentral